This 467-nucleotide ribosomal RNA is filed under the name uncultured bacterium. RNAcentral describes it as "partial 16S ribosomal RNA". It matches the Rfam family "Bacterial small subunit ribosomal RNA", at positions 28 to 507 of the family's 1533-position model. The record is from RNAcentral.
GACGAACGCUGGCGGCGUGCUUAACACAUGCAAGUCGAACGGAAAGGCCUCUUUCGGGGGGUACUCGAGUGGCGAACGGGUGAGUAACACGUGAGUAACCUGCCCUUGACUUUGGGAUAACUUCAGGUAACUGGGGCUAAUACCGGAUAGGAGCUCCUGCUGCAUGGUGGGGGUUGGAAAGUUUCGGCGGUUGGGGAUGGACUCGCGGCUUAUCAGCUUGUUGGUGGGGUAGUGGCUUACCAAGGCUUUGACGGGUAGCCGGCCUGAGAGGGUGACCGGCCACAUUGGGACUGAGAUACGGCCCAGACUCCUACGGGAGGCAGCAGUGGGGAAUAUUGCACAAUGGGUGGAAGCCUGAUGCAGCAACGCCGUGUGCGGGAUGACGGCCUUCGGGUUGUAAACCGCUUUCGCUCAUGACGAAGCUUUGUGUGACGGUAGUGGGUAAAGAAGCACCGGCUAGCUACGUG